AUCUCUCUUCGGCUAAAAAAUCAAUCGUGAUAUAUGCGAAAAGAUAUUCCUUCUUUCUUGUUAUAUCUCUAUUCGGCUAAAAAAUCAAUCGUGAUAUAUGAAAAGCUUCCUCUAGAAAAACCACCGAUAUUUUCGGGUUUUCUAUGAAAGGAGACGAGGCUUCUGUAGGAUCUAGAAGCAUAUCUAAGAAUAUACAAGUAAAUCCGAUUCAAUUCUGGUUUAUGGAUAUGUUGGCUAUUCAUUUUGUAAAUUUUUUCUACCCUAUUAUUCCGACCCUAUCAGAAAUAACAAAUUAAAAUGCUUAGUUUAAUUUAGAG
Molecule: long non-coding RNA, 317 nt
Filed under: Ananas comosus (pineapple)
Lineage: Eukaryota; Viridiplantae; Streptophyta; Magnoliopsida; Poales; Bromeliaceae
Description: long non-coding RNA (ACOM_LNC003096)
Source: RNAcentral